Long non-coding RNA from Felis catus (domestic cat), 2015 nucleotides. RefSeq lists it as uncharacterized. NCBI's taxonomy places the organism in Eukaryota, Metazoa, Chordata, Mammalia, Carnivora, Felidae. The transcript is spliced from 2 exons. The record is from RefSeq and is a predicted model, not a curated record.
AUUUAGCCACCCCCCUCCUCCCAUCCUUUUAAAAGCCUGCUCAAAUCCCAGCUUGCCAAAGCCUUCACGUGUCGGGUGCCACGGCCCCUUCAUCACCCAAGGCAGUGCAGACUCAUGAGAGAGUUUGAGCUUUGGAGAAUCAUGCCUGGGUUUGAGUUCUGACCAGCUGUGAGUCUUGGUUCUCUUGCCUGUUAAAAGGGGGAAAGAUGGUAUUGAUAAUACCCGCCUUAUUGGGCUAUCAGGAGGAGUAAAUAAGAGAAGGCAUAUAAAAUGCCUGGUGCCAUUGUUGCUACAGUUAGGGUUCAGACUGCUCUGAGCUCCUGCCACGUAUACAGAGCACAGCACCAUUAGUCCUUCCGGUGGGCUUGUCUCCCCAAGAAAAGCCGUGGCCUUGGCGUGGGAGACGUGGCUGUUAAGUCUGACUCUGCCGCCCACUCCUCGUGUGACCUUGAGCAAGCCCGUCCUCUGGGCCUCGUACGACCGACCGGCUGAGCCGUCGUCAGUCCCUGGAGGAUGGAACCCGGGCUGCUCUCCCUGCUAUAGUCCAGUGUUGACCUCGGGGCCAGGCACAGAAACAAGCACGACCCGCACAAGGAAGCAGCUGGUUUCCCACCAGCGUGUUGCUGAGGACGUCACUCCCGACGAUGCACCGAUGAGAUUUUCUGGGAGAAACUGAUCUGCUUUUGGUGUCAGGUUUCCCUGAACACCCCGGCUGCCUGGAGGCUUCGAGCCACAGCGGGGUGCCUAACCUCAAUGUCCAGUGGGGGGGGGGGGGGAUCACUGAAAUCCACUACGACCCAGCGAUACAGCGUGUGGAGGACAAUGCGUGAAGGAGUCCCACCAAAGAGUUAGAAGCGUGACCCCAGCGACCAGACCAGGAGGACACAUGCUUCAGAUUCUGUUUACUUCCCUGGUGCUUGCAAUUCUUUCAAACAAUCUCGUAUCACAAUAAAAAAAUGGAAAUGAUACGAUCGGCUACAGUAGAGAAACGCUUAAUAACACGUAAAAAUGUGGACAACUUGUUACGGUUAAGAAGAGAUUUGAGAAACAGAAUGCCAGUGUUUUCUCAUUUCUACAAAAACAACUUUACACGUCCGACAGAAGGGCAAAGUCCUGAAACGUGAACUGUGGUUUUCCCGAGUGGUGGGACACAUUUUCAUUUUCUCAUUUGUCUGUAUGUUUUCAAUUUUCCACAAUUGACAUCUAUAACUUUAGUGAUUUAAAAAAAAAAAAAAAAAGGGUACUUUCUUAAAAGGAAAGAUUUGGCCCAAGAUUUGGCCCGAAUUUGUAGCCUUUGUCUUGCCUCCACUUUCUCCCCUCCCCCACAGGCCUGUUUUCUCACCUGAUUUUAAUUGGCGCCAUCGUGCUGUCCUUUCCGUGUCCCUGAAAAAGGCCCGAAAUCCUUGUGGGAGCAAGGCGAGGCAGAAGCCAGGGCCCAGGUCCAGCCCGCUGCUCCCCAUCAGUGGUCCCCCGGCACCCCACGCCGCCUCCUCGAGUACUGUUCUAAUUAGCGGGGACGCUAAGCAGACCCAAAGGCGGAACUAUAAACACCAGAGGCAAAGACCCAUAAACAGCUGGGUAACUGACUCCAGCUUGUGCAGAUGGGCCUGGCCCUCCUUCACACUAAUGGCUGGGUGGGGGCUGGGCUAGCCAUUGAGGACGUGCCUCCGCCUCCCCUCCUUAGACCACAAGCUGCUAUGAGCCAGGCAGUUAGAAUAUUGGUGCGUUAGUCUUAGGUGAGCUUAUAUCCACAUGGGCAGGGGGUUUGAGGACCAAGGAUCUUCAAGGUCCCCUGAGCCCCAUUACCUGCCCCGGGGCCUCAACUUACCUAUCUGUAAAAUGGGGAAGAGAGGAACUAAGAGACUAAAUGGGCCUUCUUAGCUCUACCACAUCAUGCCUAAAUGUAUAUACUGGAACUAAAUGCCUAUGAUAUACCUAACUAAUAUAAUAAAAAUAUAUACCAUGUGAUAAUAUAAACAUAUGCUACAAUAAAAUUAUCUGCACUGUAACCUAAA